GAUGAACGCUGGCGGCGUGCCUAAUACAUGCAAGUCGAGCGAAUGGAUUAAGAGCUUGCUCUUAUGAAGUUAGCGGCGGACGGGUGAGUAACACGUGGGUAACCUGCCCAUAAGACUGGGAUAACGCCGGGAAACCGGGGCUAAUACCGGAUAACAUUUUGAACCGCAUGGUUCGAAAUCGAAAGGCUGCUUCGGCUGUCUCUUAUGGAUGGAUCCGCGUCGCAUUAGCUAGUUGGUGAGGUAACUGCUCACCAAGGCGACGAUGCGUAGCCCACCUGAGACGAUGAUCGGCCACACUGGGACUGAGACACGGCCCAGACUCCUACGGGAGGCAGCAGUAGAGAAUCUUCCGCAAUGGACGAAAGUCUGACGGAGCAACGCCGCGUGAGUGAUGAAGGCUUUCGGGUCGUAAAACUCUGUUGUUAGGGAAGAACAAGUGUUAGUUGAAUAAGCUGGCACCUUGACGGUACCUAACCAGAAAGCCACGGCUAACUACGUGCCAGCCGCCGCUGUAA
Molecule: ribosomal RNA, 515 nt
Filed under: uncultured bacterium
Lineage: Bacteria
Description: partial 16S ribosomal RNA
Rfam family: Bacterial small subunit ribosomal RNA
Source: RNAcentral